This 624-nucleotide ribosomal RNA is filed under the name Hymenochaete ulmicola. Its description in RNAcentral is "partial small subunit ribosomal RNA". It matches the Rfam family "Bacterial small subunit ribosomal RNA", at positions 401 to 951 of the family's 1533-position model. Lineage: Eukaryota; Fungi; Basidiomycota; Agaricomycetes; Hymenochaetales; Hymenochaetaceae. The record is from RNAcentral.
CCGGAGGGUGACUAGCUACUGAAUCUUCAUGUGUCAUUGAAGAUAACGUAAAGGAAAAUAAUGAUAUUACUUUACUAUUAGUGUCGUCCAAAGACUCGUGCCAGAAGACUCGGUAAGGCGAGAGACGCAAACGUUAUUCGUCUUGAUCAGGCGUAAAGGGUGUGUAGGCUGCUUUAAGUAUUUAUAUUGAAAACUUACUACUAUAAUGUAGUCUAUUUAGCUUUAUGAUUUUAAUCUCUCUAAUUAGAGGUUUAGAGGGAUUAGCGAUCAAAUUGUGAAAUAACUCUUUAUAAUUUAAGUAUAAAUCAAUUAAAGCUAGAAUCUAAAAGAGGUUAAAACAAUACUUAAGGUAGGAGUACUAACCGUAAAUAUUAAGUAGAGUGCUAACGGCGAAGGCAUUUAUCCACUAUAGAUUGACGCUGAGAAACGAAGGUGAGGGCAGAAAAAAGGAUUAGAGACCCUUGUAUUCCUCACUGUCAACGAUGAAUGGUAGUUACUAGUUAGAAAUUAGCUAGAGAUGAUGUUAACACGAAAACCAUUCCGCCUUGUGAGUACAACUGCAAAGUUGAAAACAAAAAAAUUAGUCGGUUUCGGAGCAAACGAAGUGAAGCAUGUUAUUUAUUG